Molecule: ribosomal RNA, 544 nt
Filed under: uncultured bacterium
Lineage: Bacteria
Description: bacterial SSU rRNA
Rfam family: Bacterial small subunit ribosomal RNA
Source: RNAcentral
AAUAGAUACUCCGGUAGUCCACGCCGUAAACGAUGAGUGCUAAGUGUUGGGGGGUUUCCGCCCCUCAGUGCUGCAGCUAACGCAUUAAGCACUCCGCCUGGGGAGUACGGUCGCAAGACUGAAACUCAAAGGAAUUGACGGGGGCCCGCACAAGCGGUGGAGCAUGUGGUUUAAUUCGAAGCAACGCGAAGAACCUUACCAGGUCUUGACAUCCCGGUGACCACUAUGGAGACAUAGUUUCCCCUUCGGGGGCAACGGUGACAGGUGGUGCAUGGUUGUCGUCAGCUCGUGUCGUGAGAUGUUGGGUUAAGUCCCGCAACGAGCGCAACCCUUAUUCUUAGUUGCCAUCAUUCAGUUGGGCACUCUAAGGAGACUGCCGGUGAUAAACCGGAGGAAGGUGGGGAUGACGUCAAAUCAUCAUGCCCCUUAUGACCUGGGCUACACACGUGCUACAAUAGACGGUACAAACGGUUGCCAACCCGCGAGGGGGAGCUAAUCCGAUAAAACCGUUCUCAGUUCGGAUUGUAGGCUGCAACUCGCCUAC